AAGGUAGAAGCGAAUUAUUGCACUUGGUUUCGGCCCGAGCUUUGUUCUUUGUUAAGGACCUUCCU
RNAcentral lists this transfer RNA (65 nucleotides) under Atrina pectinata. RNAcentral describes it as "tRNA-Arg". Lineage: Eukaryota; Metazoa; Mollusca; Bivalvia; Pterioida; Pinnidae. The record is from RNAcentral.